GAGUCCACUCUGACACAAGUAGUUUAUGGAAGUUCUGCAGUAAGGCAGCUGCUAGAUUUACGUCUGUAUCUGAGUGAAUAUCUGUACUCCUUUUGUCCAGCGAAUGAGAUGAAGCAAUGAACUGAAGUAUAUUUGCUCCAGUAUGUCAAAUAUCAAAAAGCGCAACCAUUGAAAGAGGUGUCUGUUCAGCCAUCUGGAUCGCCAUACGUUAACGUUUACAUGAACCAUGUUUCUUACGAAUGCAACAUUUCCGGUAUAUUAUUUUGUAUACAGAAAAAGAUUUGCAAGUAUACAAGGAAACGGAAAGAGAGCUUUGAGGAGCCGGGACUGGGCCUUAUACGUCUUUCAUGUACCCCACAUGUUUAUGAAAUUACCAGCUUGGUGAACAUGUGAGAAAUAAAUCAACAGCGAUGUGGGGAGCAAUAGGCCUCAAAUCUCUACUAAAACGGUACUUGUUCGUCUUGCCUGUUGAAGUGGAAACCUUGUAUAUUUACGUUUUAGAAGAAUUAUAAUGUAAAUAUCAAGUACAAUUGUUUAAGCCACAAUAAAAUACAACGCGCUCAGAAAAUAAGUUACUUGACAAAUGUUUACUCCAAACUACACCAUAAAUGACUAAACUAAGAACUAAAAUUAAAAUC
Long non-coding RNA from Limulus polyphemus (Atlantic horseshoe crab), 638 nucleotides. RefSeq lists it as uncharacterized. The transcript is spliced from 3 exons. The record is from RefSeq and is a predicted model, not a curated record. NCBI's taxonomy places the organism in Eukaryota, Metazoa, Arthropoda, Merostomata, Xiphosura, Limulidae.